CAAAGCAAAUUAUUAAUUUGCCGAUAUUUGCAUAUCUAUUUUCCCCAAAUAUUAUCCUGUUAUUCCGAAACAUGAUAAUGUUACGAAUACCUUUAAAAGUUGCCUCUUCGGUCAUAUUUCAGUUAGUUUUCUCAUCAAUCUCCGAGAGUUUAGAACGAUGCGCGUUCCCGCGACAGAGCAUGAGUUUUUCGGUAUAACACCUGUAACAAACAUGUGAGGCUUCAGGCGAACGCAGGUACAUAUUGACAACUUCAAGGUUUGAGCCUGCCAGGACUCAAUCCCGUCAGCUCUGUGUGAGAGAGGGAGGGAGAUGACAUCAGCGAGAACAGAAGACGCUGAAUGCUGAGAGGAAGCUGACUUGUUUGGCUCCUGUGGGGCUUGGGCUGCUACAAAGUCUGCAGCACCUUGGCUGGCUGUAGACGCCGGGGCAGUAGAAAAGGGCCGUCAUCCGAUACUGACGAGGA
Long non-coding RNA from Poecilia latipinna (sailfin molly), 464 nucleotides. RefSeq lists it as uncharacterized. NCBI's taxonomy places the organism in Eukaryota, Metazoa, Chordata, Actinopteri, Cyprinodontiformes, Poeciliidae. The transcript has 3 exons. The record is from RefSeq and is a predicted model, not a curated record.